Molecule: ribosomal RNA, 483 nt
Filed under: uncultured bacterium
Lineage: Bacteria
Description: partial 16S ribosomal RNA
Rfam family: Bacterial small subunit ribosomal RNA
Source: RNAcentral
GACGAACGCUGGCGGUGUGCUUAACACAUGCAAGUCGAACGCUGAAGCCCAGCUUUUGUUGGGUGGAUGAGUGGCGAACGGGUGAGUAACACGUGAGUAACCUGCCUCCUUCUUUGGGAUAACGCCCGGAAGCGGGUGCUAAUACUGGAUAUUCACUGGUCUUCGCAUGGGGGUUGGUGGAAAGGGGUUUUCUGGUGGGGGAUGGGCUCGCGGCCUAUCCGCUCGUUGGUGGGGUGAUGGCCUACCCAGGCAUUGACGGGUAGCCGGCCUGAGAGGGUGACCGGGAACAUUGGGACUGAGAUACGGCCCAGACUCCUACGGGAGGCAGCAGUGGGGAAUAUUGCGCGAUGGGCGCAAGCCUGAUGCAGCGACGCCGCGUGAGGGAUGGAGGCCGUCGGAUUGUGAACCUCUUUCGCUCAUGGUCAAGCCGCAACAAUGGUUGUGGUGAGGGUAGUGGGUAAAGAAGCGCCGGCUAACUACGUG